UGUUAUGGAUGAGGAAUAAAAGUAGUUUCUUAAAAUAGAGUCUACUUUUUGAAAAAAUGCUGUGAA
Molecule: microRNA precursor, 66 nt
Filed under: Marmota monax (woodchuck)
Lineage: Eukaryota; Metazoa; Chordata; Mammalia; Rodentia; Sciuridae
Source: RNAcentral